AUGGCAAGAUGGGGACAUUUUUUGGAUGAGGUCCUCUAAUCAUUCUCAUGACUCAUGGAACUUCUCACCAUCUUGCUGCGAAAAACUAGUUAGAGCUCACCUU
RNAcentral lists this small nucleolar RNA (103 nucleotides) under Cephalotus follicularis. RNAcentral describes it as "Plant small nucleolar RNA R71". It matches the Rfam family "Plant small nucleolar RNA R71". From Rfam's summary of the family: R71 is a member of the C/D box family of snoRNAs containing the C (UGAUGA) and D (CUGA) box motifs. Multiple nearly identical copies of this snoRNA have been identified in Arabidopsis, and it is thought to function as a 2'-O-ribose methylation guide for 18S ribosomal RNA. Lineage: Eukaryota; Viridiplantae; Streptophyta; Magnoliopsida; Oxalidales; Cephalotaceae. The record is from Rfam by way of RNAcentral.